GAUGAACGCUGGCGGCGUGCCUAAUACAUGCAAGUCGAGCGAACAGACGAGGAGCUUGCUCCUCUGACGUUAGCGGCGGACGGGUGAGUAACACGUGGAUACCCUACCUAUAAGACUGGGAUAACUUCGGGAAACCGGCGCUAAUACCGGAUAACAUGUUGAACCGCAUGGUUCAACAGUGAAAGACGGUCUUGCUGUCACUUAUAGAUGGAUCCGCGCCGCAUUAGCUAGUUGGUAAGGUAACGGCUUACCAAGGCAACGAUGCGUAGCCGACCUGAGAGGGUGAUCGGCCACACUGGAACUGAGACACGGUCCAGACUCCUACGGGAGGCAGCAGUAGGGAAUCUUCCGCAAUGGGCGAAAGCCUGACGGAGCAACGCCGCGUGAGUGAAGAAGGUCUUCGGAUCGUAAAACUCUGUUAUUAGGGAAGAACAAAUGUGUAAGUAACUAUGCACGUCUUGACGGUACCUAAUCAGAAAGCCACGGCUAACUACGUG
Molecule: ribosomal RNA, 497 nt
Filed under: uncultured bacterium
Lineage: Bacteria
Description: partial 16S ribosomal RNA
Rfam family: Bacterial small subunit ribosomal RNA
Source: RNAcentral